GAAAUGCGAUAAGUAAUGUGAAUUGCAGAAUUCCGUGAAUCAUCGAAUCUUUGAACGCAUAUUGCGCCCUUUGGUAUUCCGGGGGGCAUGCCUGUCCGAGCGUCAUUACUAUCUUCAAGCACGGCUUGUGUGUUGAGCAUUCUGUUCUCUUAAUUAAUUUCUGAAUGUUGACCUCGGAUCAGGUAGGGAUACCCGCUGAACUUAA
This 205-nucleotide unclassified non-coding RNA is filed under the name uncultured Eurotiomycetes. RNAcentral's name for it is "sequence contains ITS1". The stretch from base 1 to 105 matches the Rfam family "5.8S ribosomal RNA", at positions 50 to 154 of the family's 154-position model. Rfam says of the family: 5.8S ribosomal RNA (5.8S rRNA) is a component of the large subunit of the eukaryotic ribosome. It is transcribed by RNA polymerase I as part of the 45S precursor that also contains 18S and 28S rRNA. Lineage: Eukaryota; Fungi; Ascomycota; Eurotiomycetes. The record is from RNAcentral.